UACAGAGGUCCCAAGCGUUGUUCGGAUUCACUGGGCGUAAAGGGUGCGUAGGUGAUGAGGUAAGUCGGAUGUGAAAUCUCCGAGCUCAACUCGGAACUGCAUUGGAAACUACCUUGCUCGAGGGUUGGAGGGGGGACUGGAAUGCUUGGUGUAGCAGUGAAAAUGCGUAGAUAUCAAGCGGAACACCGGUGGCGAAGGCGGCCAACUGGACGAACACUGACGCUGAGACUCGAAAGCGUGGGGGAGCAAAACAGG
RNAcentral lists this ribosomal RNA (255 nucleotides) under uncultured bacterium. Its description in RNAcentral is "partial 16S ribosomal RNA". It matches the Rfam family "Bacterial small subunit ribosomal RNA", at positions 524 to 776 of the family's 1533-position model. The record is from RNAcentral.